RNAcentral lists this ribosomal RNA (479 nucleotides) under uncultured bacterium. RNAcentral describes it as "bacterial SSU rRNA". It matches the Rfam family "Bacterial small subunit ribosomal RNA", at positions 29 to 518 of the family's 1533-position model. The record is from RNAcentral.
AUGAACGCUGGCGGCGUGCCUAACACAUGCAAGUCGAGCGGAGUAACAGAGGAUUCUCGAUGACUUGUAACUAGCGGCGGAUGGGUGAGUAACACGUGGGUAAUCUGCCCUGCACAGGGGGGAUAACAGCUGGAAACGGCUGUUAAUACCGCAUAUGCACACGUUAUCGCAUGAUAGAGUGUGGAAAGAUUUAUCGGUGCAGGAUGAGCCCGCGUCGGAUUAACUAGUUGGCAGGGUAACGGCCUACCAAGGUGAUGAUCCGUAGCCGGCCUGAGAGGGCGACCGGCCACAUUGGGACUGAGACACGGCCCAAACUCCUACGGGAGGCAGCAGUGGGGAAUAUUGCACAAUGGGCGCAAGCCUGAUGCAGCGACGCCGCGUGAAGGAAGACGUAUUUCGGUAUGUAAACUUCUAUCAGCGGGGAAGAAGAUGACGGUACCCGACUAAGAAGCCCCGGCUAACUACGUGCCAGCCGCGGC